UACGUAGGGGGCAAGCGUUGUCCGGAAUCAUUGGGCGUAAAGCGCGUGUAGGCGGCCCGGUAAGUCCGCUGUGAAAGUCCAGGGCUCAACCCUGGAAUGCCGGUGGAUACUGUCGGGCUCGAGUCCGGAAGAGGCGAGUGGAAUUCCUGGUGUAGCGGUGAAAUGCGCAGAUAUCAGGAGGAACACCAAUGGCGAAGGCAGCUCUCUGGGACGGUACUGACGCUGAGACGCGAAAGCGUGGGGAGCGAACAGG
Molecule: ribosomal RNA, 253 nt
Filed under: uncultured bacterium
Lineage: Bacteria
Description: partial 16S ribosomal RNA
Rfam family: Bacterial small subunit ribosomal RNA
Source: RNAcentral